GAUGAACGCUGGCGGCGUGCCUAAUACAUGCAAGUCGAGCGAACGGACGAGAAGCUUGCUUCUCUGAUGUUAGCGGCGGACGGGUGAGUAACACGUGGAUAACCUACCUAUAAGACUGGGAUAACUUCGGGAAACCGGAGCUAAUACCGGAUAAUAUUUUGUACCGCAUGGUUCAAAAGUGAAAGACGGUCUUGCUGUCACUUAUAGAUGGAUCCGCGCUGCAUUAGCUAGUUGGUAAGGUAACGGCUUACCAAGGCAACGAUGCAUAGCCGACCUGAGAGGGUGAUCGGCCACACUGGAACUGAGACACGGUCCAGACUCCUACGGGAGGCAGCAGUAGGGAAUCUUCCGCAAUGGGCGAAAGCCUGACGGAGCAACGCCGCGUGAGUGAUGAAGGUCUUCGGAUCGUAAAACGCUGUUAUUAGGGAAGAACAUAUGUGUAAGUAACUGUGCACAUCUUGACGGUACCUAAUCAGAAAGCCACGGCUAACUACGUG
RNAcentral lists this ribosomal RNA (497 nucleotides) under uncultured bacterium. Its description in RNAcentral is "partial 16S ribosomal RNA". It matches the Rfam family "Bacterial small subunit ribosomal RNA", at positions 28 to 507 of the family's 1533-position model. The record is from RNAcentral.